UACUAUAAAACAGAUGCUCUCCUGAUGGCCCAUUCCUGGACAUUCCUGAGGACUCAUAAUCAGAGUGGUACAACCCUCCUCAUCUCUCCUCCCACCUCUUCCCUAUGACAUCUGAUUCUGUGUUGAGAAACUUUCAACAGAAGAAGUUAGUGAGAUAAUCACGAGGUAACAUUUUAUUAAAUAACUUCUAAAUUUUUCUUCUUCGCUUUUUCUUUUUCCAAUCCUCCAACUAAUUACCAAUAUAAAUCAUGCGAGGUACUUAGAAAGUGCUGUGCUUUAUAUCCAUUGCUUUUAUCUGGACUCCAGCCAAUUUUACUUUUCAACUUGGUACAAUUUGGGUAGAAUCUAACCUAAUCUCAGUGCAAGCAAUAGAUUGUUUCCCCAAUAUCUCAUAAUACUAUUCUUGAUAUAAUAUCCAUUUUUAAUAGUUUCUCUAUGUAAGUUCUAGAGCAUGAAAUAAUUUAUAUAAUUCAUAUGAAUAGGAAGCUUAUUGCAAAAUCUUUAAUCCAAUAUUGUAAAUAAAUACCUUUUCUGUAUAUUUUUGAAAAUAAUGCUCUCAGUUCAUCAGAAUUAUUCUUUUGGUUUUGUUAGUAACGUUCUAAAGUACUCAAGUAUUCUGUAUUUAAAGAAAUAAAAUAGCAAAACACUAUCAACUAAAAAUCUGUAAUGUGAUUCAUUUCUGGUACAGCAACUUUUAGUCAAAUUAUAUAAAAAAUAAUGUAGAAUUUCAAUAUUGUAUUUUCCUGUUGAUGUUUUGAAUAUGUUAGAAUACUGAAGUCUAUAGUGGUUUUCAAAUAAGUACAUAAUGGACAGAUUUUUGAAGAAAUAAUUGAAGAAACAUGUUACUCUCUUAUAGUAUUUAAUCCAUGAUCUAAAAUGAAAUGGUGAACGAUGAAAUUAAAACAUCAAAUGGAAAGAAUUCUUUUUUAACAAUAAAAUUAUGUUUUAAAAUCAAUUGAUUAUUUACAUUGCUCUUUCAAACUCUUGCCCCAGGAUAAUAUUUUUUUCUUAAAAUAUAUGUAAAAUUUAUAAAAUAUAAUCAGAGAUUACAUAAGAAAUAUUUAUCAAUUUCUCCCAAUUAUACUUAAUUUUUAAAUAGAAAAUGUAAGUUCAAUAGAGACUGCAUGUAAAAUUAUAGACAAUUUUAUGAAUAGCAGAUAUAGAAUAACAUUUUGCAUGUACAUGUAUAAAUAACAUUUACAGAAUACUUAGUAUUCCAUUUUAUGAGUAUAAUCAUCAGAACCAUAUAUCACAUAUAUAUACAUGACACCUAAAAUAACCUUAGUUAUAAUUUUAAAGUAAGCAAAGCAUACACUUAAAUAUGAUAGAGUUUUAAAUUUAGAUUUAAAUCUAAUUUGGAUAUGCACAUAGCAUGAUUCUAUCAUUUGAGAAGAAAUAGCACAUGAUAUUAUAUAUUAUAAAUUAUGUGAUACAAAUAUAUCUCUGUGGUUAUUUUAUGUGUUGAGGAUUUAACAAACCUUUAUUAAAUAAAGGUGUCAAUGUGUAGAAGGCAUAUUAUUACCUG
This 1525-nucleotide long non-coding RNA is filed under the name Canis lupus familiaris (dog). RNAcentral's name for it is "lncRNA (ENSCAFG00030018762.1)". The record is from RNAcentral. Lineage: Eukaryota; Metazoa; Chordata; Mammalia; Carnivora; Canidae.